CCUACGGGUGGCAGCAGUGGGGAAUAUUGCACAAUGGGGGAAACCCUGAUGCAGCGACGCCGCGUGAGUGAAGAAGUAAUUCGUUAUGUAAAGCUCUAUCAGCCGGGAAGAAAAUGCCGGUACCUGAGUAAGAAGCCCCGGCUAACUACCUGCCAGAAGCCGCGGUAAUACGUAAGGGGCAAGCGUUAUCCGGAUUUACUGGGGGUAAAGGGGGCGUAGACGGCAGUGCAAGUCUGGAGUGAAAGGCGGGGGCUCAACCCCCGUACUGCUCUUGAAACUGUACGGCUGGAGUGCAGGAGAGGUAAGUGGAAUGCCUAGUGUAGCGGUGAAAUGCGUAGAUAUUAGGAGGAACACCAGUGGCGAAGGCGGCAUACUGGACUGUAACUGACGUUGAGGCUCGAAAGCGUGGGGAGCAAACAGGAUUAGAUACCCUUGUAGUC
This 440-nucleotide ribosomal RNA is filed under the name uncultured bacterium. RNAcentral's name for it is "partial 16S ribosomal RNA". It matches the Rfam family "Bacterial small subunit ribosomal RNA", at positions 338 to 795 of the family's 1533-position model. The record is from RNAcentral.